Molecule: small nucleolar RNA, 133 nt
Organism: Fukomys damarensis (Damara mole-rat)
Lineage: Eukaryota; Metazoa; Chordata; Mammalia; Rodentia; Bathyergidae
Gene: SNORA63
Rfam family: Small nucleolar RNA SNORA63
About the family: E3 belongs to the H/ACA class of snoRNAs and is involved in the processing of eukaryotic pre-rRNA and has regions of complementarity to 18S rRNA.
Source: Ensembl
UAGCAGGCUUAAGAGUGCAACAUAGCUGUUGAGUGCUGUGCUGUCGUUCUCCCUGCUCAAAAAAAAAGUUGUUUCUUAACUAUACCUGUCUGCUAUGCCUAUGUAGCAGCCAGGGACGCUUAGUCUCAUACAC